AUGAUGGAGAGUGAAAUCCCACCUGCCUCUCCGCCCCAUGGGGCGGGCGAUCAUGAGGUGUCAUCACGGAGGAGCCCAGAUCCGCUGAGGCCGGAAGCUGACGCUUCAGCCAUCCCGACCCCGGCGCAUUUGUCCCCCUUGCCGGAUGAUGAGAAGGGUCCGGAACAAUCCGGUGCCCGGCCGAGCAUGCUGGCGAGCCUCCUGGAGCAAGCCGCUCUCUCAGAGGGUCACCGUACGCUGAUGGGUACGGUGUUGGAGAAGAUUUCGUCUGCCACAAGCGGGUUAAAUGAAGCUUUUGGAAGUUUACUCAAAGGCUUCGAGGUAUGCGAUAAAAUAGGUAAUUUUUGA
Molecule: ribosomal RNA, 348 nt
Filed under: Triticum aestivum (bread wheat)
Lineage: Eukaryota; Viridiplantae; Streptophyta; Magnoliopsida; Poales; Poaceae
Description: partial small subunit ribosomal RNA
Source: RNAcentral